This 271-nucleotide ribosomal RNA is filed under the name uncultured archaeon. RNAcentral's name for it is "partial 16S ribosomal RNA". It matches the Rfam family "Archaeal small subunit ribosomal RNA", at positions 477 to 747 of the family's 1478-position model. The record is from RNAcentral.
CAGCGCCACGAGUGGGAAUCGCGAUUAUUGGGCCUAAAGCGUCCGUAGCCGGUUCAGUAAAUCUUUAGUGAAAUCGUUCUGCUUAACAGAACGGCGUGCUAAAGAGAUUGUUGGACUAGGAACCGGGAGGAGUCAGAAGUAUAUUAGGGGGAGCGGUAAAAUGCAAUAAUCCUUAAUGGACUACCUGUGGCGAAGGCGUCUGACUAGAACGGAUUCGACGGUGAGGGACGAAAGCUAGGGGAGCGAACCGGAUUAGAUACCCGAGUAGUCC